RNAcentral lists this unclassified non-coding RNA (248 nucleotides) under uncultured fungus. Its description in RNAcentral is "partial contains 5.8S ribosomal RNA, internal transcribed spacer 2, and large subunit ribosomal RNA". The stretch from base 1 to 52 matches the Rfam family "5.8S ribosomal RNA", at positions 103 to 154 of the family's 154-position model. The record is from RNAcentral. Lineage: Eukaryota; Fungi.
AACGCACAUUGCGCCCGGUGGUAUUCCGCCGGGCAUGCCUGUUCGAGCGUCUCUAUCAACCAUCACGCCUAGCGUGGAACUGGGGAUUGCAGUUUGCUGCAGCCCUAAAUCUCAUAUGCGAUCCCAGUUGGUUCUAUGCGUAGUACAUACCCCGCUACAGAAUCUAAAUUGGAGCCGUCGGCAGUAAAUGGUGUAAGCCCAUUCAUAAGGUUGACCUCGAAUCAAGUAGGGAUACCCGCUGAACUUAA